AAGGAAAAAAACCCCAGAAACUGAAAGGGGAUGUCUCUGAGGAUUUGCUGUUUGAUUACCAUAACCUUGAAAGCUGAAAUGCAAAAAUCAAUGUCAGUGAUUAGGCUUUUGGCCUUCUGAAGCCACCAGUCUUCCCCUCUGAAAUGCGCCUUGUGCUGUGGCAUUGCUUUAUGCUGUCUGCAUUGCCAGCCCUGAAGUCAUGGAGAGGAUCUGG
Haemorhous mexicanus (house finch) is the source of this 214-nucleotide long non-coding RNA. RefSeq lists it as uncharacterized. The record is from RefSeq and is a predicted model, not a curated record. The transcript has 2 exons. Lineage: Eukaryota; Metazoa; Chordata; Aves; Passeriformes; Fringillidae.